This 468-nucleotide ribosomal RNA is filed under the name uncultured bacterium. RNAcentral's name for it is "partial 16S ribosomal RNA". It matches the Rfam family "Bacterial small subunit ribosomal RNA", at positions 28 to 507 of the family's 1533-position model. The record is from RNAcentral.
GACGAACGCUGGCGGCGUGCUUAACACAUGCAAGUCGAACGGAAAGGCCCUGCUUUUGUGGGGUGCUCGAGUGGCGAACGGGUGAGUAACACGUGAGUAACCUGCCCUUGACUUUGGGAUAACUUCAGGAAACUGGGGCGAAUACCGGAUAGGAGCUCCUGCUGCAUGGUGUGGGUUGGUAAGUUUCGGCGGUUGGGGAUGGACUCGCGGCUUAUCAGCUUGUUGGUGGGGUAGUGGCUUACCAAGGCUUUGACGGGUAGCCGGCCUGAGAGGGUGACCGGCGACAUUGGGACUAAGAUACGGCCCAGACUGCUACGGGAGGCAGCAGUGGGGAAUAUUGCACAAUGGGCGGAAGCCUGAUGCAGCAACGCCGCGUGCGGGAUGACGGCCUUCGGGUUGUAAACCGAUUUCGCCUGAGACGAAGCGUGAGUGACGGUAAUGGGUAAGGAAGCACCGGCUAACUACGUG